GACGAACGCUGGCGGCGUGCCUAAUACAUGCAAGUUGAGCGCUGAAGGUUGGUACUUGUACCCACUGGAUCAGCAGCGAACGGGUGAGUAACGCGUGGGGAAUCUGCCUUUGAGCGGGGGACAACAUUUGGAAACGAAUGCUAAUACCGCAUAAAAACUUUAAACACAAGUUUUAAGUUUGAAAGAUGCAAUUGCAUCACUCAAAGAUGAUCCCGCGUUGUAUUAGCUAGUUGGUGAGGUAAAGGCUCACCAAGGCGAUGAUACAUAGCCGACCUGAGAGGGUGAUCGGCCACAUUGGGACGGAGACACGGCCCAAACUCCUACGGGAGGCAGCAGUAGGGAAUCUUCGGCAAUGGACGAAAGUCCGACCGAGCAACGCCGCGUGAGUGAAGAAGGGUUUCGGAUCGUAAAACUCUGUUGGUAGAGAAGAACGUUGGUGAGAGUGGAAAGCUCAUCAAGUGACGGUAACUACCCAGAAAGGGACGGCUAACUACGUG
RNAcentral lists this ribosomal RNA (497 nucleotides) under uncultured bacterium. RNAcentral's name for it is "partial 16S ribosomal RNA". It matches the Rfam family "Bacterial small subunit ribosomal RNA", at positions 28 to 507 of the family's 1533-position model. The record is from RNAcentral.